AACGCAUCUUGCGCUCCUUGGUAUUCCGAGGAGCAUGCCCGUUUGAGUGUCGCGAACUCCGUCGACCCCUCGCAGGUUUCUCCUGGGAUGGUGUGUCGGAUUUGGACGUCUGCCGCGCAUCGUAGCGGCUCGUCUCGAAAUGCAUUAGCUGGGUCACCUCUUGCUGAGUCGGCAGCGGCGUGAUAAAUCUACUUUAUUCUUCGCCGUGCUCGAGGACUCCGAGGGUCCCGCUUCCAACCGUCCCUCCCCAUGGGACAAAUUCAACCUUCUUGACCUCAAAUCGGGUAGGACUACCCGCUGAACUUAA
This 307-nucleotide unclassified non-coding RNA is filed under the name uncultured Agaricomycetes. RNAcentral's name for it is "sequence contains ITS2". The record is from RNAcentral. Lineage: Eukaryota; Fungi; Basidiomycota; Agaricomycetes.